RNAcentral lists this ribosomal RNA (307 nucleotides) under uncultured eukaryote. RNAcentral's name for it is "partial 18S ribosomal RNA". It matches the Rfam family "Eukaryotic small subunit ribosomal RNA", at positions 1470 to 1796 of the family's 1831-position model. The record is from RNAcentral.
CCCUUAGACGUUCUGGGCCGCACGCGCGCUACACUGACACAGGCAACGGGCUUUCCUUUACCGAAAGGUAUGGGUAAUCUUUUGAAACUGUGUCGUGCUGGGGAUAGAUCCUUGCAAUUUUUGAUCUUAAACGAGGAAUUCCUAGUAAGCGCGAGUCAUCAACUCGCGUUGAUUACGUCCCUGCCCUUUGUACACACCGCCCGUCGCUACUACCGAUUGAAUGGCUUAGUGAGGCCUCAGGAUCCGCGCUUAAUGUGUGGAGAAUUUGGACAAACUACGUCAUUUAGAGGAAGUAAAAGUCGUAACA